GGAUGUGUGGAGAUGCUGCGUGGAUGGUUUUCCAUUUCUCCGACCUCAUUAAUGGACAAUGUCACGUCUUUUGAAGAUCCUGUCUAUGGAGGAUUUAGUAGUCUGUAUGGGAGGCAAGAACAUGUAUUUACACAAUCAUGAGGCUAGGCGCCUUAAGGAAAAGCUACGCAAGGAAGAAUCUGGUUUGUCAGAUGAUACAAUCUCAAGGCGUUUGUGGACUUAAAACUUAAAUAUUAUGUUGUAGCCUCAACAGUUCUGCAUUCAGAGGAAUCACCUGUCACGGAACAAAAUUGGGAAUUUUCUGAUGAAAGGGCAAGGAGAUUACAUGAAUCCUCUUCCUUUAAUUCAUAGAAUAUUUAUCUUGUCUUUAUGCUAUUGAAAGAUGCAGUAUGGUGCUCCGGUUUUGAGCAGCGUGUGCUAAGGAUACUUCUGACAGCAAUCAUUCUGAAAGUAAACACAGCCCUGACAGCAAUCAUUCUGAAAGUAAACACAGCCCUGACAGCAAUCAUGGCAACAAUAAUUCCAGCAGUAAUCACGGUAGAAGGAGCUGCAAGUCUCAGCCUGCAGUUACAGCAAGAUUUCAAGCAAUCAAUCCAAAGAAUCCUAGCACUAAUGCCAUGAUCAUUCAAGCAAGAUCACAGGAGAUUCCAAUCAUUCCAGCAAGAUCACUCUGGCAGUAAUCACAACAUGAACUGCAAUUAUGUUUUCUAGCACAUGACAAGCUCGUUAUCCUCCCAAUCAACCAUAAUUGUAAUCUCAAGUAAAUGCUAAGAGAAUCACUAUGAGUGUGUUUGGUAUUGUGGUAGCUUUUGUGGUUGCGGUUUGUAAAAAGCAGUUUCAUAAAAAGUACUUUUUGUGAGGUUGAUUUUUAAAAAAAUUGGUGUUUGGUAAAAACUGUGGUUGAAGUUGUGGUUUUAAAAAAAGCAGUUUUAGGUGUUUGGUUACAAAACUGUGGUUCAACAAUUGUGGUUGAAAAAAAGCAGUUUUGUGUUUGGUAAAAACCGUGGUUCAAAAAAAAAUUUCUUGUAUUUUGUUAAUAUGGUUUGUGUUUUAUAUUUGAUUGGAAUUAAAUAUUU
This is a long non-coding RNA of Populus trichocarpa (black cottonwood), 1076 nucleotides long. RefSeq lists it as uncharacterized. NCBI's taxonomy places the organism in Eukaryota, Viridiplantae, Streptophyta, Magnoliopsida, Malpighiales, Salicaceae. The record is from RefSeq and is a predicted model, not a curated record. The transcript is spliced from 3 exons.